UACGUAGGGUGCAAGCGUUAAUCGGAAUUACUGGGCGUAAAGCGUGCGCAGGCGCUAUGCAAGACAGAUGUGAAAUCCCCGGGCUCAACCUGGGAACUGCAUUUGUGACUGCAUAGCUAGAGUACGGUAGAGGGGGAUGGAAUUCCGCAUGUAGCAGUGAAAUGCGUAGAUAUGCGGAGGAACACCGAUGGCGAAGGCAAUCCCCUGGAC
This 210-nucleotide ribosomal RNA is filed under the name uncultured bacterium. RNAcentral describes it as "partial 16S ribosomal RNA". It matches the Rfam family "Bacterial small subunit ribosomal RNA", at positions 524 to 734 of the family's 1533-position model. The record is from RNAcentral.